Molecule: ribosomal RNA, 477 nt
Filed under: uncultured bacterium
Lineage: Bacteria
Description: partial 16S ribosomal RNA
Rfam family: Bacterial small subunit ribosomal RNA
Source: RNAcentral
GAUUAACGCUGGCGGCGUGCAUAACACAUGCAAGUCGAACGAUGAAACUUAACUGAUUUCUUCGGAAUGAUUUUAAGUGGCUUAGUGGCGGACGGGUGAGUAACGCGUGAGUAACCUGCCUUGGAGAAGGGGAUAGCCUUUGGAAACGAAGAAUAAUACCCUAUGAUAUGAUAAUAUCUCAUGAUAUUAUCAUCAAAGAUUUAUCGCUCUAAGAUGGACUUGCGUCUGAUUAGUUAGUUGGUGAGGUAACAGCUCACCAAGGCAGCGAUCAGUAGCCGGCUUGAGAGAGUGUACGGCCACAUUGGGACUGAGACACGGCCCAGACUCCUACGGGAGGCAGCAGUGGGGAAUUUUACACAAUGGGGGAAACCCUGAUGCAGCGACGCCGCGUGAUUUAGAAGGCCUUCGGGUUGUAAAAAUCUUUUGUAUGGGAAGAAAAUGACAGUACCAUACGAAUAAGGACCGGCUAAUUACGUG